RNAcentral lists this ribosomal RNA (500 nucleotides) under uncultured bacterium. RNAcentral describes it as "partial 16S ribosomal RNA". It matches the Rfam family "Bacterial small subunit ribosomal RNA", at positions 30 to 523 of the family's 1533-position model. The record is from RNAcentral.
AUUGAACGCUGGCGGCAUGCCUUACACAUGCAAGUCGAACGGCAGCGGGGACUUCGGUCCGCCGGCGAGUGGCGAACGGGUGAGUAAUGUAUCGGAACGUACCUUUCAGUGGGGGAUAACGUAGCGAAAGUUACGCUAAUACCGCAUAUUCUCUGAGGAGGAAAGCAGGGGACCUUCGGGCCUUGUGCUGAUGGAGCGGCCGAUAUCAGAUUAGCUAGUUGGUGAGGUAAAGGCUCACCAAAGCGACGAUCUGUAGCGGGUCUGAGAGGAUGAUCCGCCACACUGGGACUGAGACACGGCCCAGACUCCUACGGGAGGCAGCAGUGGGGAAUUUUGGACAAUGGGCGCAAGCCUGAUCCAGCCAUGCCGCGUGAGUGAAGAAGGCCUUCGGGUUGUAAAGCUCUUUCGGACGGGAAGAAAUUGGUGGGGCUAAUAUCCCCAUCGGAUGACGGUACCGUAAUAAGAAGCACCGGCUAACUACGUGCCAGCCGCCGCAGUAA